This 388-nucleotide unclassified non-coding RNA is filed under the name soil metagenome. Its description in RNAcentral is "partial contains 5.8S ribosomal RNA, internal transcribed spacer 2, and large subunit ribosomal RNA". The stretch from base 1 to 120 matches the Rfam family "5.8S ribosomal RNA", at positions 35 to 154 of the family's 154-position model. The record is from RNAcentral.
GAUGAAGAACGUAGUGAAAUGCGAUAAGUAAUGUGAAUUGCAGAAUUCAGUGAAUCAUCGAAUCUUUGAACGCACCUUGCGCUCCUUGGUAUUCCGAGGAGCAUGCCUGUUUGAGUGUCAUUAAAUUCUCAACCUCACCAGUUUUGUAACGAGACAGGUGAAGGCUUGGAUGUGGGGGUUUUGCAGGCUGCCUCAGUGCUGGUCUGCUCUCCUGAAAUGCAUUAGCGAGCUCAUAUUGAGCUUCCGUCUAUUGGUGUGAUAAUUAUCUACGCCGUGGAUUGGACUCAUGCUUGCUUCUAACCGUCCGCAAGGACAAUUUACUUGACCAAUUUGACCUCAAAUCAGGUAGGACUACCCGCUGAACUUAAGCAUAUCAAUAAGCGGAGGA